Anolis carolinensis (green anole) is the source of this 2994-nucleotide long non-coding RNA. RefSeq lists it as uncharacterized. The transcript has 2 exons. Lineage: Eukaryota; Metazoa; Chordata; Lepidosauria; Squamata; Anolidae. The record is from RefSeq and is a predicted model, not a curated record.
UGUGCAAUCUUGUUUUUUUCCAGUAGACUAAGGGCAAGGGCCAGGGACUCUGGUGGCAAACUGUUAAACCGCUGAGCUGCAGAACUUGCUGACUGAAAGGUUGGCAGUUUGAUUCCUUGAGCGGGAUGAGCUCCUGUCAUAAGCCCCAGCUUCUGCCAACCUAGCAGUUCAAAAAUAUGCAAAUAAAAACCACAGACUGAAAGUAGGAGCAGCAGCCAAAGCAUCUACAUGACUGUUCAUGAAAAUCCCAGAGGAAUAGCACUGUGUGAAUUUGGAGCCUGAAACUCAGUAAGGCAGGCACUGGGCAAAUCUCCUUGGGGAGGGAAUUUCACAGCUGAGGUACCAUUUUCUGAGUCUGGAAGGACUCUCAGCUCAAGUUCCUGCCUUUUGUAACAGGAGAGGAUGCCUGGGAUAGAUAAUCUCAAAAAGGAAGUGACUAGCUGAAAGGCACAGAAAUGGGAAAGCAGCAUUGUGAAAUGCAAGCAAAACCUGAACAUCUCCAAUUAGUUAAAAACAAAAACUGCUGUCAUGUUGAAUGAAUGGGACUUGCUCUCAGGUUAAGUGUGCUGAGAAUUGCAAUUUUCAUAGAAAUUUAAAAUGACAAGAGGGAAGAGUUUAGCAGUCUGCACGAAAACAGCCAAUUAGGUUGUGACUUUUUCUGCAUUCUCUACCUUGCCUAGGUGUUUGCAGAGCAUUGGCCUUUUACACCGCUUGUACUUCUUUGUUUCAUCAGUCCAGAGAUUUUCUCCAUGUUAUCUAUUUAUGAAGAAGGGAUUGUCUGUCUCUAUACAACAUUUUUCUGAGUGGGUUGCAGCAGCCACUUGUCUGCCUUAUGAACUAGCAGACAAACAGCUAUCUGCUCAAGUGAGAAGUUACUUGGCUAGACGUGUCACAGCAUUGGCUGCAUUUCCAAAAGGGGUAUUUCUACACGACAUCUGUCAAACUGUUGACCAUUAAAUUUCCUCUCAGUUUAGACUGGACUCAAGGUCUCAAAUGGAGGCUGUGUUUGGGAAAGUGGUGCUCUUCUCUUGUGUGGCAUGAUAUUCAGUCUUAGUCUGUGUGAGUCUGCUACUAGUCUGACUCACACAGAUUAGCAGUUUGCUAGUCUGCGUGAGUUAUGGAAUCCAUGAAGAAGGCCAGGUUGUUUAAUUAUAACUGAAGUUAUUUGAGUGAACUUGCACUGCAUUUUUAAUUAAAAAAUUAUAUUGCUCUUUUUAAACUAUGAUCAAAGUGUGAGAUUAUGAGCUGACUUAAAUCUCCAUAGGAAGAAAGGUGGGGUAUAAAUAAAGAAAAUAAAUAUAAGUACAUAAAUUCACAAAAACCUGUUUAUCCACCCCUUGAUGUAUCCAACUUUCUUGGAUCCUUGGCUGCUGCUUUGGUGUCAGUGGAACUGAGGUUUUAGAUGGAAAAUGCACUGGUAUGGUACACGGGGAGCGGGCAGAACUAAUGCCAAAAAGCUUAUAUAAUAGCUUUAGUAGGCGGUGAACAAUACACUAUACAGGUGCAAGUGACACAUUUGUGUGAGUCAAAAAAACCAUGAAGAAAAACCCAAUUUCCCCCCACAAAAGGAAAAGGAUGGGAAGUUGAGAGCAACAGCUGUAGCUGGCAAACAUCUUGGAAAUUCUUGGCAGAAGGGAUGGAAGGAAAUCAAAAUGUGCAUAUUUCACUCAAUACCCCUUUUGUCCUUUUGGCAAACCUUUCUACAACUUUUCAGUCCCAAAGUCAAGCAAUAUGAAUGUUUGAAAGAAAUACUGCAGGUAAUGAAUGGAGGCUGAAAGGAAGGGAAUGGGUGGAAUUCCUCACCGGAUAGGUACAAAAUAUAGCUUAAGAAUUCAUUUAGGCAAGGUGCAAUCAUUCCACAUAGUGCAUUAUUUGUACAGGUAUUUAGAAGCAAUGCAUUACAAAUUCUUUUAAAAACAUUUGCUUUUGAUUCUGUAUUGUGCAUUACUUUUGCACAUAAACAUAAUGAAAUUCAUUAUGUUCCAGCUGUGCCUAAUAAUGAUACAAACUCCAUCUCCUAUUUUUGUUCUAGCAUUCCCUAAGAGCACCAGUCACUAGUGGUUUAGUACUGCCUUCAACUCUCUGUGUUAGGACAGUAAAAAGUCUUUUCCACCCUGCAUUCAUGUGAAUGCGCAGAUACUGGGAAUGCCUUGGAUAUUAAGUGAAAGCCAGGAUAUAACCUUUUCUUAUAAGCAUCAUUUAAGAAGCUGAAUAGAUACGUAUGCUCCAGACAUACAAUAAAACUCUGAGGGUUGCAAAGGUAAACAUAAUCAGAUGCCAAGAAGUUCCUGAAUAAAUGCAAUCAAAUAAUUAAGAAACAGAGACCCUGCCAGGGAUGCUAGGUUACCACUGAGAUAAACUCAUGGCAUGAGUUUAAGUGUAGGGCUUCAGCUCCAAGUCAAGGAAUCUAUCUACUGCAAGAAAAGUGGGCUAAUUUUUGCAUAUUGUGUGUAGUGGGAGGAUUCUGCUGUCAAAUAGUGAAGAAAAUAAUACUUACUUUGUUAGCUCCACAAUAAGAGUGGCUUUUGUGGCCGACAUCAGAUUCAAAUUUGGCUGUAGGAAGUGCACCAUGCUACAAAAGACAAACAAGUACUUAUCAAUGUAACUUCCCUGUCUGGUGAUGUACAAACAUCCCUUAAUUUAAAAUUGACUAAAUUACUAUGCACUUCCUCAACAUUUGCUCCAGGGGAAACAAGAAACUAUUUUCCCAAAAAAGUUCCUUCCUGCCUUACAACAGCAGUGUAUGUGUGCUGACGGUGCUGCAUGCGUGAAAUUUCCCCCGGGGGCACUGCAGUUCCCAGCAUCAAACAUGGUUCAGAGUUGUUUAAAAAUUUAGCCGUACUGUUCCUUCCACUAGCUGGUUAUUAGAUUAUUUUCCUCUUUUCUCUCCAUCUUUUGUCCUCCUUAUCCCUUUUUGUGUAAUGUUUAUUACAUUGCAAGCCCUGUACCCUGGCAGAAAAUUGAUGUAUAAAACUUAAUAAACAAGUAAACGUA